UUGCAGGGCUCGCGCUGCACUUUCCAUUCGCUCUCGCGCGCAGGAAGCCAUGUGAUGAAGUUCUGCUCUUCCCUCACACCUUCUCAUCCUGAGGAUGGACUAAGAUCGUGACAGACGACGGCGCCUCGUGCUUCUCUAUAGCAAACUGCUCGUAGAAGGAUUUCGAGGAUGUGAUUUCUAAUCGAGGAUGUUCGUUUAUCCGCAUUUCACAUCCAGAUGACCGCUUUUUUUCCUUUUUUUUUUUUUUUUUGGUGCCAUGGGGAGUUCAAGGAGAAUAGGCAGCUGGAGCUCGGAGUCGCCUGCAGGAGGAAGUGUGAGGCUGAUGCAACAUGAGGGUUGGCAGAUAAAUGAAGGAUGAUAAAGGAAUCAUGGGAAGGAUCUAAUCGGAUACUUUCGUAUCACUUUAGUGAUGGUCAGUCAAAACUCACAGAUCAUCUUAUGAAGAUGCUUCAAUCACAAGGGGUAAAAUAUAUCAUAUAAAUAAAAAGUCUACAUAUAAUGUGUAUUUGAUAUUUAUACUGUAUGUCUGUAAAAAUAUUUGCAAAUGUAUUUAAUAAAAACUGAUAUUUGA
Pimephales promelas (fathead minnow) is the source of this 571-nucleotide long non-coding RNA. RefSeq lists it as uncharacterized. The record is from RefSeq and is a predicted model, not a curated record. Lineage: Eukaryota; Metazoa; Chordata; Actinopteri; Cypriniformes; Leuciscidae.